Syzygium oleosum is the source of this 1153-nucleotide long non-coding RNA. RefSeq lists it as uncharacterized. The record is from RefSeq and is a predicted model, not a curated record. Lineage: Eukaryota; Viridiplantae; Streptophyta; Magnoliopsida; Myrtales; Myrtaceae. The transcript is spliced from 4 exons.
GCCCUCGCCGACGAAGCACAUUAAAGCCAACCCUGCUCCGACGAAGCAAAGGUCUUCCUCGUCUUCGCUCUCAGCUCCGGCGUUCGUCAAGCGGUCGUUCCUCCGCCCUCGCCGACGAUGCACAUUAAGGCCACCCCUGCUCCGACGAAGCAAAGGUCUCCCUUUCUCGCGAUCCGACGCUCGCUCGCUCGCUCGCUGCUCCAGCGUUUGUCAAGCGGCUGUUCCCCCACCAUCGCCGACGAAGCACGUUAAGGCCGCCGCUGCUCCGAUGAAGCUCCAGUGUAUUCAGUCUGCCCACAUUACAAGGAAAAUAUUCAGUUUAUUUUCUCCACUGCCAUUGAUGGUAAGAUAAAAGCUUGGCUGUAUGAUUGCCUGGGAUCUAGAGUGGACUAUGAUCCUCCCGGUUUUGCAAGGGGCAGAAAUAUUGUUACACCCAACUGUUAUUGGUUCUGAACCACAGGAUGAAGCACGUUAAGGUCGCCCCUGCUUCGACGCUCACUCCGUCCUUGCUCCGGCGCUUGUUCGAAAAAAUCCGGCGCUCGCCGCUCUCUGCUCCGUUGCUCUCUUCUCGCCUCCUUAUGAAGCUGGAGCUGUCAGCCUCCCCAAAGACCAGAUUUUCUCUUCUAUCACGGAGGUUGAGAAGACGAUUGACCACGUUCAGGAAGUGAGCUCGGGAUUUUUAAACACUGCACAGAGUAUUUUCCAAAUUGUUGCAGAUGCUCUGAAACCGGGUGUAGAUGUUGCGGCUUCGUUGUUGCAGAAAGCUGGAGAACUCCCCAGCUCUUUUCGAGGCUUCAAAGAAAGCCCAAGAAGCAAUGCAGAGCUCAGGCAUUGAUGCACAGCCUGUCAUGAGUGCUGCAAAGAUGUCUUGAUUUGCAGAAGGCGCUAGCCUCGGCCUCCGGAGAGCCCCAUUGGCAUCUUUUCCUCCAGGAGCCCCGCCAUCGUGACCUUCGUGCUCGUGAAGGCCAAGCAAGAUGAACUGAAGAACACUGAUGAGAGGAUACAGGGAUUGAGGCAUAAUGUGCAGCAGUCAGAUGUCUUACUUGUUUCUGUAUUAUUUGAUCUUUUAUUAGGACUACUUGUCAAGAAAGAAUAGAUGGUUGGAACUUGUAAUUUUGAUAGCUUAAAUCAAAGGCUCAGCUAUUCCCCCCUC